AGUGGCGGACGGGUGAGUAACGCGUGAGAAUCUGCCUUGGGGUCGGGGACAACCACUGGAAACGGUGGCUAAUACCGGAUAAGCCGAUUGGUGAAAGAUUUAUUGCCCGAAGAGGAGCUCGCGUCUGAUUAGCUAGUUGGUGAGGUAAGAGCUCACCAAGGCAGCGAUCAGUAGCUGGUCUGAGAGGACGAUCAGCCACACUGGGACUGAGACACGGCCCAGACUCCUACGGGAGGCAGCAGUGGGGAAUUUUCCGCAAUGGGCGAAAGCCUGACGGAGCAAGACCGCGUGAGGGAGGAAGGCUCUUGGGUUGUAAACCUCUUUUCUCAGGGAAGAAGAUCUGACGGUACCUGAGGAAUCAGCCUCGGCUAACUCCGUGCCAGCAGCCGCGGUAAUACGGAGGAGGCAAGCGUUAUCCGGAAUUAUUGGGCGUAAAGCGUCCGCAGGUGGCGAUUCAAGUCUGCUGUCAAAGCAGGGGGCUUAACUCCGUAAAGGCAGUGGAAACUGAAUAGCUAGAGUGCCGUAGGGGUAGAGGGAAUUCCCGGUGUAGCGGUGAAAUGCGUAGAGAUCGGGAAGAACAUCGGUGGCGAAAGCGCUCUACUGGACGGCAACUGACACUCAGGGACGAAAGCUAGGGGAGCGAAUGGGAUUAGAUACCCC
RNAcentral lists this ribosomal RNA (660 nucleotides) under uncultured bacterium. RNAcentral's name for it is "bacterial SSU rRNA". It matches the Rfam family "Bacterial small subunit ribosomal RNA", at positions 94 to 788 of the family's 1533-position model. The record is from RNAcentral.